UACGGAGGGUGCAAGCAUUAAUCGGAAUUAUUGGGCGUAAAGGGCGCGUAGGCGGUCAAGCAAGUCAGGUGUGAAAUUUCGGGGCUCAACCCCGAAGCGGCACUUGAAACUGCAUGACUUGAGGUAUGGCGGAGGAAAUGGAAUUCCACGUGUAGCGGUGAAAUGCGUAGAUAUGUGGAAGAACACCGGUGGCGAAAGCGGUUUUCUAGCUUAGACCUGACGCUGAGGCGCGAGAGCAAGGGGAUCAAACAGG
RNAcentral lists this ribosomal RNA (253 nucleotides) under uncultured prokaryote. RNAcentral's name for it is "partial 16S ribosomal RNA". It matches the Rfam family "Bacterial small subunit ribosomal RNA", at positions 524 to 776 of the family's 1533-position model. The record is from RNAcentral.